UUAAUCAAAGCCAAAAAGAGGCAAACCACUGUUAAUGGUAGAAGUGAAGUUUUCUUCUGAUU
Molecule: transfer RNA, 62 nt
Filed under: Typhlatya sp. JR2016
Lineage: Eukaryota; Metazoa; Arthropoda; Malacostraca; Decapoda; Atyidae
Description: tRNA-Asn
Source: RNAcentral